This 1430-nucleotide unclassified non-coding RNA is filed under the name Hevea brasiliensis (rubber tree). The record is from RNAcentral. Lineage: Eukaryota; Viridiplantae; Streptophyta; Magnoliopsida; Malpighiales; Euphorbiaceae.
GUGUGUGUGUAUAUAUAUAUUUUCAGUUAAUUUCUGUUCUUUGCGAGGAGCGCAAGAGAUGAUGGAUGAGAAUGUAAGGCACUGCUUGCCACUGUACAAAGCUGCACUACAUGGAGAUUGGGAUACUGCAAAGAGAAUUUUUGAUAGUGAUUCAAAUGCUUUAACUGCUAAUAUUUCACCCAUAGAAGAAACUGCUCUCCAUGUCUCAAUUUGCGCCGGUCACUCCAUUGAAUUUGUGGAGAAGCUUGUAGAUAGAAUGCCAGCAGAUGAACUCGGAAUAAAAAAUAAAUUCGGCGAAACUCCUCUUCACGCAGCUGGUGUAGCUGGAAAUACAGAAGCUGCAAAGGUGUUGGUGAAAAAAAAUCCAAGAUUGACUCAAGAAAGGAACUCUGUUAAUGAUACACCGCUUCAUCUUGCUGCCGCACAUGCCCGUAAGGAAACAGUUCAGUAUCUUCUGUCAGUAACUCAGGAUGAGGAUCCAAGUCCUUUCGCUGACAAAGAUGGUGUCAAACUCCUCAAUUUGCUGAUCACUGCAGAUUUUUAUAGUUAUGUGCAUUAUCACCUUUAUUUAAUUAUGAAUUUGCUUUGACCUGAUUUUUCUUUGUAAUUGAAUGCUAAAUGCAGAGCAUGCACUCGACUAUUGAGCUACUUGUACAGCCGCAAACACAUUUAGCUCUGUUGAUAACCGUUUUCUACUCAUUCUUCAUGAGCAGGCAUCGCGCUUGAUCUAUUGAAGCUCUAUCCUGCAUUGGCACGCAGAAGAGACGGCCAAGGAGUUUCUGCUUUAGACAGAUUGGCCGGAAAGCCUCAGGCAUUCGCAAGUGGAAGUCGGCUUGGAUUUUUCCAACGCUUAUUCUAUCGUUGUUGGACUAGCAUUCCUGAUCUAUUUCUUUUAUCUACAUGAAAGUUGGAUCUCUCGUUGACCAUGUCUUUUCAAUACAGAUUUUGCAGGUACUUCUGCAGACAAAGAAAGUGCCAAUCGAGGCGAAGAUGUAGAAAAUCCAGGCGGGAAUUUUGAUAAAUACCAAAAGGAAUCCUUGCAAUUUCAAUUUCUACAGCAGAUACAGAAAACAAAAUUGAUGCAUAAGCAAGCAAUGGAGCUUCUCGGACUCCUGAUUUCUGAAGCUUUAAAAGGAAGUGUAUCAGAAGCUGAUGAUCUAUUAGGACCUCCAACACGAAUUGCUGCCAUAUUGGGCAUUCAAGAAUUCGUUACCGAGGUGAUUAAAUCCUACCCUGGUACGGUGUGGCUCCGGAAUAAGGAUGGGCAAAAUAUUUUUCUUCUUGCUGUAAAACAUCGCCAAGAAAAAAUAUUCAAUCUCCUGUAUCAAAUGGGUACGCAUAAGCUUUUUACUACAACAUUCAUUGAUAAACAGCGCAACAGCAUGUUGCAUUUAGCAGGGAUGUUGGAACCAUCAAAGAAGAUUUCUGGC